This 303-nucleotide unclassified non-coding RNA is filed under the name plant metagenome. RNAcentral's name for it is "partial contains 5.8S ribosomal RNA, internal transcribed spacer 2, and large subunit ribosomal RNA". The stretch from base 1 to 105 matches the Rfam family "5.8S ribosomal RNA", at positions 50 to 154 of the family's 154-position model. The record is from RNAcentral.
GAAAUGCGAUAAGUAAUGUGAAUUGCAGAAUUCAGUGAAUCAUCGAAUCUUUGAACGCACAUUGCGCCCGCCAGUAUUCUGGCGGGCAUGCCUGUUCGAGCGUCAUUUCAACCAUCAAGCCCCGCGCUUGUGUUGGGGACCUGCGGCUGCCGCAGGCCCUGAAAACCAGUGGCGGGCUCGCUGUCACACCGGGCGUAGUAGAUUUUAUCUCGCUCAGGGCGUGCUGCGGGUUCCGGCCGUUAAAAAGCCUUUUUUACCCAAGGUUGACCUCGGAUCAGGUAGGAAGACCCGCUGCACUUAAGC